Long non-coding RNA from Cucurbita moschata (crookneck pumpkin), 951 nucleotides. RefSeq lists it as uncharacterized. The record is from RefSeq and is a predicted model, not a curated record. NCBI's taxonomy places the organism in Eukaryota, Viridiplantae, Streptophyta, Magnoliopsida, Cucurbitales, Cucurbitaceae. The transcript is spliced from 3 exons.
AAAAAAGGCUUAAAUGAUCUUCAUUGAGCGCUGAAUUCUCUCUCUGGCCUGCUUCAGAUCAUUAAGAACUUCAAUUACCCGUUCACCGAUCACCAGCAUCAUCUCGCCGGUUUCUGCUUCUUCCGGAGAGUUCACGGCCACAAGUGCGAGUGAAUCGUCCACGGAAUUGAAUUCAUCUCCACUAUUUUCGAUCUUUUCUUUCGUUGGAGCAAAUUUCUGAAUCUGAGAAACUCGAGCUGGUAGAGCCUCGAGCAUUUGGAUUCUCUUCGUCUGAAUGAGAAAUUUCACCGAUGGUCUGCGAAUUGAUUGGGAGAGACGUUGCUGCGGUUAGGGUUUUCGGUUCAUCUUCAUCGCAAAUUUCCGACGAAAUUGACGGUUCUGAGUUCAACAUCGUGAAAGAAAGGGUAAGAGAAAAACGACAUGUAGUCUUAUUUCCAGUCAAGAAGUGGGCCCAAAAUACGUAAGGUUCGCCGACAUUCCGAAUUAUACCGUGUGCGUUUACUAUAUUCCAAGAAAGACGGUGUCGUUUGUUACUCCCAUCGCCUCGGCAAAACGAGGUGUCGGCACAUGUGAUCCUGUCUCUCCCCUGCUAGAUGAAUGCUUCCUCGGUACGUUAUCUUCUUCCCUUCCAAACGAUAUGUCGUUCGUAAGGAAUUAAGACCUUAUUACUAAAUUAAUUGGUCCUAAUUAAUGUUUUAAAAUUAAAUAAAAUGGUUGAAAAAUCAUAUUCAUUUCGAGGAUAAAGCUUGCUAAUUUUCUAGUCAUAUUAUAUAUAUAUAUAUAUUCAGCUAGAGAACAAAAUUUUAAAUUACUUGCACGAACUUUAAGAGGUAAGUAUACUAAAUAAGACUAUGGAUGCAUUAUGGAAUAUAGAAAUUUCUUCUUAGGUUUCAUUCUAUAUGUGGAUAUGGUUAUUGAUAAUUAUGAAAAAUACUUGGAAUUUUACUUUUA